RNAcentral lists this ribosomal RNA (328 nucleotides) under uncultured bacterium. Its description in RNAcentral is "bacterial SSU rRNA". It matches the Rfam family "Bacterial small subunit ribosomal RNA", at positions 570 to 898 of the family's 1533-position model. The record is from RNAcentral.
CGUAGGUGGUAGUGUAAGUCUGGGGUGGAAUCCCAGGGCUCAACCCUGGAACUGCCUUGGAAACUGCAUUACUUGAGUCAGUGAGGGGAGGGUAGAAUUCCUGGUGUAGCGGUGAAAUGCGUAGAUAUCAGGAGGAAGGCCUGUGGCGAAGGCGGCCCUCUGGCGCUGGACUGACACUGAGGCGCGAAAGCGUGGGGAGCAAACAGGAUUAGAUACCCUGGUAGUCCACGCCCUAAACGGUGGGCACUAGGUGUAGGGCUCGUAAGGGUUCUGUGCCGAAGGGAAACCAUUAAGUGCCCCGCCUGGGGAGUACGGCCGCAAGGUUGAA